UGGGGAAUAUUGGACAAUGGGCGCAAGCCUGAUCCAGCAAUGCCGCGUGGAUGAAGAAGGUCUUCGGAUUGUAAAGUCCUUUCGGCGGGGACGAUGAUGACGGUACCCGCAGAAGAAGCCCCGGCUAACUUCGUGCCAGCAGCCGCGGUAAUACGAAGGGGGCUAGCGUUGCUCGGAAUGACUGGGCGUAAAGGGCGCGUAGGCGGACCAUACAGUCGGACGUGAAAUUCCCGGGCUCAACCUGGGGACUGCGUUCGAGACGUGUGAUCUAGAGUUUGGAAGAGGGUCGUGGAAUUCCCAGUGUAGAGGUGAAAUUCGUAGAUAUUGGGAAGAACACCGGUGGCGAAGGCGGCGACCUGGUCCUUGACUGACGCUGAGGCGCGAAAGCGUGGGGAGCAAACA
RNAcentral lists this ribosomal RNA (402 nucleotides) under uncultured bacterium. RNAcentral's name for it is "bacterial SSU rRNA". It matches the Rfam family "Bacterial small subunit ribosomal RNA", at positions 355 to 774 of the family's 1533-position model. The record is from RNAcentral.